This 20-nucleotide ribosomal RNA is filed under the name Misgurnus anguillicaudatus (oriental weatherfish). The record is from RNAcentral. Lineage: Eukaryota; Metazoa; Chordata; Actinopteri; Cypriniformes; Cobitidae.
AUACCAGGUGCUGUAAGCUU